GACGAACGCUGGCGGCGUGCCUAAUACAUGCAAGUAGAACGCUGAAGGAGGAGCUUGCUCUUCUGGAUGAGUUGCGAACGGGUGAGUAACGCGUAGGUAACCUGCCUGGUAGCGGGGGAUAACUAUUGGAAACGAUAGCUAAUACCGCAUAAGAGUAGAUGUUGCAUGACAUUUGCUUAAAAGGUGCAAUUGCACCACUACCAGAUGGACCUGCGUUGUAUUAGCUAGUUGGUGAGGUAACGGCUCACCAAGGCGACGAUACAUAGCCGACCUGAGAGGGUGAUCGGCCACACUGGGACUGAGACACGGCCCAGACUCCUACGGGAGGCAGCAGUAGGGAAUCUUCGGCAAUGGACGGAAGUCUGACCGAGCAACGCCGCGUGAGUGAAGAAGGUUUUCGGAUCGUAAA
This 409-nucleotide ribosomal RNA is filed under the name uncultured bacterium. Its description in RNAcentral is "bacterial SSU rRNA". It matches the Rfam family "Bacterial small subunit ribosomal RNA", at positions 28 to 429 of the family's 1533-position model. The record is from RNAcentral.